GAAUAAAAGUUGGAAGCUGAAGAAAGAGUUUGAUACUCGGCCAUCCACGGUACAGAAUGUAUUUGCAUUUAGGAGUCUCUUAGUAAUGAUUCUACAUAAUAACGUAAUUAUUAGCAGGUUUCUUUACUUUCGACGAAAAUGUCUUGGUAACCUCAAACUUGAUAUGAACGGAUAGCAGGUUUCGUAUUAGUAACUGUGUUAAAACCUGUUAUUUGUACUUAAAUGGUAUAGAAUAAUGGUUGGGCUCCUGAAUAUAAAAAUUAGAAUGAUCGUGAAAAUGUUCGUUUUCUCGGUUUCGAAUAGAUCCAUCCACACGAAAUCGAUGGAUAAAUUUGGUAUGGUUAGUAAAUCUUGUAUUGUUACCUAUAUAAUCUUAUAUUGUUAUUAGUAAACCGUUUGUUAUACUUGAAAAUUAUUUAUAGGAGAACUCUAUAGAUCCUGGUCCUGGUGCCUUUGUAUGCAGUUGUAAUUUUCUUGAUGGGAAUAAUUAAAAUGAUCCUAUACAGCUCUUGUCCUUACUACAGUACCUUGUCGCAAAAUAGUUAAAAUAUCGGAGUCCCAAAAAAUUAGCAGCCACAUAACUGCCGGAGCAGAAACACCAAGUGGCCAUUUAAGCACAAGACCUGAAACUGAGCCACAACCUUAGACUUCGACUGAAGGUAUUCCUGAAACAUUUAUGUCUACCGCACGGAUUGAUGCUGAAAAUGAUUUGUGAAUGUGAAAAGUGUGAAUGGGACUUAACAAUUUAUCUGAACGUUUUUCAAUUGAAAGUAGAGAAUGAAAUGACAUCUUAGUAUUUAUGUAUUUUCCUACUUAUGCAAUAUGUAUAUGUUUGUUUGCAAUACUCAAAGAUAUCAGUAGUGUGUUAUUAUGACUGGAAAGUUGAAAAACGUAGUAAGCAAAAUCAGUUACUCAUAACUCUCAUGAAACUUUAGCUGUUAGUUUUAAUGUUUCGCAGUCAAAAAUAUACAGAAUUACAGUAAUA
Long non-coding RNA from Dendroctonus ponderosae (mountain pine beetle), 985 nucleotides. RefSeq lists it as uncharacterized. The transcript is spliced from 2 exons. Lineage: Eukaryota; Metazoa; Arthropoda; Insecta; Coleoptera; Curculionidae. The record is from RefSeq and is a predicted model, not a curated record.